GAUGAACGCUGGCGGCGUGCUUAACACAUGCAAGUCGAACGGUCGUAGCAAUACGAUAGUGGCGCACGGGUGAGGAACACGUAGCUAACCUGCCCCAAGUACGGGAUAACUUCCCGAAAGGGAUGCUAAUACCGUAUAAGCUCACGCCGAGUAGGUAGGUGUGAGAAAAGGUUUACUGCUUGGGGAGGGGGGCUGCGGCCCAUCAGGUAGUUGGUGAGGUAACGGCUCACCAAGCCGACGACGGGUAGGGGGUCUGAGAGGAUGGCCCCCCACACUGGGACUGAGACACGGCCCAGACUCCUACGGGAGGCAGCAGUGAGGGAUAUUGCGCAAUGGGGGAAACCCUGACGCAGCGACGCCGCGUGGGUGAUGAAGGCCU
RNAcentral lists this ribosomal RNA (379 nucleotides) under uncultured bacterium. RNAcentral's name for it is "bacterial SSU rRNA". It matches the Rfam family "Bacterial small subunit ribosomal RNA", at positions 28 to 417 of the family's 1533-position model. The record is from RNAcentral.